UUAUUUUGUCCGAGGAAGACAUCUGAUUCGGACGAAAGAUUUAUCGGUUAUGGAUGGGGAUGCGUCUGAUUAGCUUGUUGGCGGGGUAACGGCCCACCAAGGCGACGAUAGUAGGGGUUCUGAGAGGAAGGUCCCCCACAUUGGAACUGAGACACGGUCCAAACUCCUACGGGAGGCAGCAGUGAGGAAUAUUGGUCAAUGGACGAGAGUCUGAACCAGCCAAGUAGCGUGCAGGAUGACGGCCCUAUGGGUUGUAAACUGCUUUUAUACGGGGAUAAAAGAUGUCACGUGUGACAUUUUGCAGGUACCGUAUGAAUAAGGACCGGCUAAUUCCGUGCCAGCAGCCGCGGUAAUACGGAAGGUCCGGGCGUUAUCCGGAUUUAUUGGGUUUAAAGGGAGCGUAGGCUGCCGGUUAAGUGUGUUGUGAAAUGCAGGCGCUCAACGUCUGCCUUGCAGCGCAUACUGUCCGGCUUGAGUACGCACAACGUUGGCGGAAUUCGUCGUGUAGCGGUGAAAUGCUUAGAUAUGACGAAGAACUCCGAUUGCGAAGGCAGCUGACGGGAGCGUUACUGACGCUGAAGCUCGAAGUGCGGGUAUCGAACAGGAUUAGAUACCCUGGUAGUCCGCACGGUAAACGAUGGAUGCCCGCUGUUUGUCCUCAAGGAUAAGCGGCCAAGCGAAAGCAUUAAGCAUCCCACCUGGGGAGUACGCCCGCACGGUGAAACUCAAGGAAUUGACGGGGCCCGCACAAGCGGAGGAACAUGUGGUUUAUUCGAUGAUACGCGAGGACCUUACCCGGGCUUGAAUGCAGAGACGAUCAGAGAUGUGA
This 829-nucleotide ribosomal RNA is filed under the name Prevotella sp. NAIP7N. RNAcentral's name for it is "bacterial SSU rRNA". It matches the Rfam family "Bacterial small subunit ribosomal RNA", at positions 171 to 1011 of the family's 1533-position model. Lineage: Bacteria; Pseudomonadati; Bacteroidota; Bacteroidia; Bacteroidales; Prevotellaceae. The record is from RNAcentral.